GGCUGGUCCGAUGACAGUGGUUUAUCAGAACUUAUUAACAUUUGUGUCACUAAAGUUGGUAUACCACCGCCCCCCACUGCUAAAUUUGACUGGUUUAAA
This is an unclassified non-coding RNA of Cavia porcellus (domestic guinea pig), 99 nucleotides long. It matches the Rfam family "Y RNA". Rfam says of the family: Y RNAs are components of the Ro ribonucleoprotein particle (Ro RNP), in association with Ro60 and La proteins. The Y RNAs and Ro60 and La proteins are well conserved, but the function of the Ro RNP is not known. Lineage: Eukaryota; Metazoa; Chordata; Mammalia; Rodentia; Caviidae. The record is from Ensembl.